UUGUAAAAACGCGACGAAUAACAAUGAAGAGAAAAAAAAGAACUAGGGCCUAACCCAUUAAGCGGGCGGCCGAAUUACAUCGGGCCGACUUAUUGGAUUUCAUUUAGGAUCCCAUAUGCAUAUAUUUAUAGGACAAGUUCCAUGGACCUCUCCCUUCCACUAACCGAUGUGGGAUCCCUUAUUUAAAAAAUAAGUUGAAACGCAGCCGACUUAUUAGUUUCCUUUUCCUUUUCAUGGGUCGGGUCCAAGUGUUUGUCGGCCCAAUUCGAUAAAUUUGAAACUUGUGGAAUUCGACAACAACAGUGUUAUCAGAAAGUGUUCUUUUUUUUUUGUCCCACAUCGAAGCAUCUGCUAAAGCCCAAAGAAAAAAAGAAAGCAUUAGCUCUUGUUUUAUUCGUCUAUCAUCCGAAUUUAGACUACAACGGAAAAACCCAGCGAUCUUAGUUUCAUUAUCCGCCGGAAAAAGCAUCUGAUCCUUGAAUUUUCGGAUAUAAAAAUCUCCAAUUUCUUCACUGUAUAUGGAGUUGGCAGGAUCAUCAAGUUAUUAGUCUACAGAUUCUUGUUCAGGCUACUUGGGGACUUGGUAAGGCCACUGCGUUUACUUUACUAUUCUAAGGAAAGGUUUCUACGUUGUUCUUCUGUUGCUUUGGAUCUCUUGUUCAAUUAUUAUCUCUUGUUGAUAUGGAGAGGAUAACUUGGAACAUGUCUUUUCAAUAUAUUCAAAAUAAGCCGAGUCUUUCUUGAUUUUGCAGUUGGAAGAUCAUCCCACUUACUAUCAAAGGUUUUCUAUGAUCCCUUUCACCUUUUUUCUUGAUGCAAGAAUCUUUGUGAUGGAACAGUUGCCUAAAGAUUUGGAGAGUCCAGUGGAAGCCACAUUGCAAUAGUUGAACAAUUACAAGAUGUCCCCUAAUCUUUAAAACCGAGAUUCCUUGAUCAAUGUCCAAUUCAUGCUUUGACAUAUACGGAUAUAGUAGCGUUUCAUCGACAUAACUAAUUCCUUGUCAGAAACCAAAAGGAGAAUAUGAGAAGAGCCAUUUUGAUCUCACCUUAAAGUGGUAACCUGCAAGAUGAAUCAGAAACAGAAGGAUUGUAACCAAUUGAUAAAGAUUUUGAUCUCACCGUGAACUACUUUUUAAACGAGUUUGCAAUAGAUGGCCCAUAGUGACAUAUUAUUAGGCCCAAUGGUGAUGGCCCAAUGAAAUCAUGUAAUCAAACGCAAGCAAUAAGUAAGAAUUUAUGAAGAA
Arabidopsis lyrata subsp. lyrata is the source of this 1244-nucleotide long non-coding RNA. RefSeq lists it as uncharacterized. NCBI's taxonomy places the organism in Eukaryota, Viridiplantae, Streptophyta, Magnoliopsida, Brassicales, Brassicaceae. The record is from RefSeq and is a predicted model, not a curated record. The transcript has 2 exons.